RNAcentral lists this ribosomal RNA (276 nucleotides) under uncultured prokaryote. Its description in RNAcentral is "partial 16S ribosomal RNA". It matches the Rfam family "Bacterial small subunit ribosomal RNA", at positions 524 to 801 of the family's 1533-position model. The record is from RNAcentral.
UACGUAGGGGCUAGCGUUAUCCGGAAUUACUGGGCGUAAAGGGUGCGUAGGUGGUUUCUUAAGUCAGAGGUGAAAGGCUACGGCUCAACCGUAGUAAGCCUUUGAAACUGGGAAACUUGAGUGCAGGAUAGGAGAAUGGAAUUCCUAGUGUAGCGGUGAAAUGCGUAGAUAUUAGGAGGAACACCAGUUGCGAAGGCGGCUCUCUGGACUGUAACUGACACUGAGGCACGAAAGCGUGGGGAGCAAACAGGAUUAGAUACCCUGGUAGUCCCUGAG